AAUGGACGAAAGUCUGACGGAGCAACGCCGCGUGAGUGAUGAAGGCUUUCGGGUCGUAAAACUCUGUUGUUAGGGAAGAACAAGUACGAGAGUAACUGCUCGUACCUUGACGGUACCUAACCAGAAAGCCACGGCUAACUACGUGCCAGCAGCCGCGGUAAUACGUAGGUGGCAAGCGUUAUCCGGAAUUAUUGGGCGUAAAGCGCGCGCAGGCGGUUUCUUAAGUCUGAUGUGAAAGCCCACGGCUCAACCGUGGAGGGUCAUUGGAAACUGGGGAACUUGAGUGCAGAAGAGAAAAGCGGAAUUCCACGUGUAGCGGUGAAAUGCGUAGAGAUGUGGAGGAACACCAGUGGCGAAGGCGGCUUUUUGGUCUGUAACUGACGCUGAGGCGCGAAAGCGUGGGGAGCAAACAGGAUUAGAUACCCUGGUAGUCCACGCCGUAAACGAUGAGUGCUAAGUGUUAGAGGGUUUCCGCCCUUUAGUGCUGCAGCUAACGCAUUAAGCACUCCGCCUGGGGAGUAC
Molecule: ribosomal RNA, 522 nt
Filed under: Bacillus sp. GNCB-1
Lineage: Bacteria; Bacillati; Bacillota; Bacilli; Caryophanales; Bacillaceae
Description: bacterial SSU rRNA
Rfam family: Bacterial small subunit ribosomal RNA
Source: RNAcentral